RNAcentral lists this ribosomal RNA (1074 nucleotides) under Bacillus sp. (in: firmicutes). RNAcentral describes it as "bacterial SSU rRNA". It matches the Rfam family "Bacterial small subunit ribosomal RNA", at positions 81 to 1149 of the family's 1533-position model. Lineage: Bacteria; Bacillati; Bacillota; Bacilli; Caryophanales; Bacillaceae. The record is from RNAcentral.
GCUUUUCAAACUUAGCGGCGGACGGGUGAGUAACACGUGGGCAACCUGCCCUUGAGACGGGGAUAACUCCGGGAAACCGGAGCUAAUACCGGAUAACACAUAUCUUCGCAUGAGGAUAUGUUAGAAGUGGCUUUUAGCUACCACUCAAGGAUGGGCCCGCGGCGCAUUAGCUAGUUGGUGAGGUAACGGCUCACCAAGGCGACGAUGCGUAGCCGACCUGAGAGGGUGAUCGGCCACACUGGGACUGAGACACGCCCAGACUCCUACGGGAGGCAGCAGUAGGGAAUCUUCCGCAAUGGACGAAAGUCUGACGGAGCAACGCCGCGUGAGUGAUGAAGGUUUUCGGAUCGUAAAGCUCUGUUGUUAGGGAAGAACAAGUACUGUUGAAUAAGCAGGUACCUUGACGGUACCUAACCAGAAAGCCACGGCUAACUACGUGCCAGCAGCCGCGGUAAUACGUAGGUGGCAAGCGUUGUCCGGAAUUAUUGGGCGUAAAGCGCGCGCAGGCGUUCCUUAAGUCUGAUGUGAAAGCCCACGGCUCAACCGUGGAGGGUCAUUGGAAACUGGGGAACUUGAGUGCAGAAGAGGAGAGCGGAAUUCCACGUGUAGCGGUGAAAUGCGUAGAGAUGUGGAGGACACCAGUGGCGAAGGCGGCUCUCUGGUCUGUAACUGACGCUGAGGCGCGAAAGCGUGGGGAGCGAACAGGAUUAGAUACCCUGGUAGUCCACGCCGUAAACGAUGAGUGCUAAGUGUUAGAGGGUUCCGCCCUUUAGUGCUGCAGCAAACGCAUUAAGCACUCCGCCUGGGGAGUACGGUCGCAAGACUGAAACUCAAAGGAAUUGACGGGGACCCGCACAAGCGGUGGAGCAUGUGGUUUAAUUCGAAGCAACGCGAAGAACCUUACCAGGUCUUGACAUCCUCUGCUACUUCUAGAGAUAGAAGGUUCCCUUCGGGGACAGAGUGACAGGUGGUGCAUGGUUGUCGUCAGCUCGUGUCGUGAGAUGUUGGGUAAGUCCCGCAACGACCGCACCCUUGAUCUUAGUUGCCAGCAUUUAGUUGGGCAUCUAAGGUGAC